This 253-nucleotide ribosomal RNA is filed under the name uncultured bacterium. Its description in RNAcentral is "partial 16S ribosomal RNA". It matches the Rfam family "Bacterial small subunit ribosomal RNA", at positions 524 to 776 of the family's 1533-position model. The record is from RNAcentral.
UACAGAGGUCUCAAGCGUUGUUCGGAUUCAUUGGGCGUAAAGGGUGCGUAGGCGGCGCGGUAAGUCGGAUGUGAAAUCUCGGGGCUUAACUCCGAAACUGCAUUCGAUACUGCCGUGCUUGAGGACUGGAGAGGAGACUGGGAUUUACGGUGUAGCGGUGAAAUGCGUAGAUAUCGUAAGGAAGACCAGUGGCGAAGGCGGGUCUCUGGACAGUUCCUGACGCUGAGGCACGAAGGCCAGGGGAGCAAACGGG